UCCCUGGUGGUCCAGUGGUUAAGACUCUGCACUUCCACUGCAGGGAACAUGGGUUCAAUCCCUGGUUAUGGAA
This 73-nucleotide transfer RNA is filed under the name Capra hircus (goat). It matches the Rfam family "tRNA". Rfam says of the family: Transfer RNA (tRNA) molecules are approximately 80 nucleotides in length. Their secondary structure includes four short double-helical elements and three loops (D, anti-codon, and T loops). Further hydrogen bonds mediate the characteristic L-shaped molecular structure. tRNAs have two regions of fundamental functional importance: the anti-codon, which is responsible for specific mRNA codon recognition, and the 3' end, to which the tRNAs corresponding amino acid is attached (by aminoacyl-tRNA synthetases). tRNAs cope with the degeneracy of the genetic code in two manners: having more than one tRNA (with a specific anti-codon) for a particular amino acid; and 'wobble' base-pairing, i.e. permitting non-standard base-pairing at the 3rd anti-codon position. The record is from Rfam by way of RNAcentral. Lineage: Eukaryota; Metazoa; Chordata; Mammalia; Artiodactyla; Bovidae. RNAcentral also lists the same sequence under 1 other name.